UACGGGGGGGGCAAGCGUUGUUCGGAAUUACUGGGCGUAAAGGGCUCGUAGGUGGCCAACUAAGUCAGACGUGAAAUCCCUCAGCUUAACUGGGGAAUUGCGUCUGAUACUGGAUGGCUUGAGUUUGGGAGAGGGAUGCGGAAUUCCAGGUGUAGCGGUGAAAUGCGUAGAUAUCUGGAGGAACACCGGUGGCGAAGGCGGCAUCCUGGACCAACACUGACACUGAGGAGCGAAAGCCAGGGGAGCAAACGGG
Molecule: ribosomal RNA, 253 nt
Filed under: uncultured bacterium
Lineage: Bacteria
Description: partial 16S ribosomal RNA
Rfam family: Bacterial small subunit ribosomal RNA
Source: RNAcentral